GGAGUGCUCGCCUUAAGGCCAGAGGAGGCGGGGCUCCUGGGGACCGGGACCGGCCCUGGCCUUAGAAGAGGAUAAAAGCCCAGUCAGCCCGGCCCCAGGUUGCGGGAGCAACGUCGUUGUUGGCUUCGGACCUUCCUGUGUUCCUGAUCCCUGCUCGGCUUCCUGUUCCUGACUAUCCGGUACUCCUGUUCCCUGCUCGGCCUCCUGUUCCCGACCAUCCGGUGUUCCUGUUCCCUGCACAGCCUCCUGUUCCAGCACUCCUGUUCCCCGCCCGGCUCUCUGCCUCGGACCUUGCCCCUCUUCGUGUGGACUCUGCUACACCCAAGGUACCUUACCCCCGGGACCAGCACAGGGUG
Non-coding RNA from Podarcis lilfordi (Lilford's wall lizard), 356 nucleotides. The record is from the annotation of a GenBank genome assembly. NCBI's taxonomy places the organism in Eukaryota, Metazoa, Chordata, Lepidosauria, Squamata, Lacertidae.